Molecule: long non-coding RNA, 451 nt
Organism: Vitis riparia (riverbank grape)
Lineage: Eukaryota; Viridiplantae; Streptophyta; Magnoliopsida; Vitales; Vitaceae
Exons: 3
Source: RefSeq, a predicted model, not a curated record
ACAAUUAUCCGCGUCCUGGACGUCCUUUGGUUGGUGUUUUUUUGGGAGACCAGGGCGGACCAGGAACAGAGAAAGAUUUACACAGUAAGAGAUAGAAACAGGAAACCGGAGAAAGGAAGCAGUAGAUUUCAAUUUGUUAGGUCUUGCUAGUUUUUGGUGAAGGAUAGCUUGCUCGAAGCCGCUUCAAGCAGUACUACUUGGGGGAACCUUUCCAGUAUCAACACACCCAAUUCUCAUAUAAGGCAUUGCAAUUGAUAGAAUCAAAGGCUGGACAUGGAUCAAAUUGCUGGCCCAAGCAGUUGACGAGGUAUGAAUUGAGGCUUUUCUUUGAUACACCUAACCAUGUAACCUAUAUUUAUGAAAAUCAAAUAAAAUUGUUUGGAAUCUAUUAAACACUAUGCUUAAAUAUAUUAUAGCUUUGUACAAUACAGAUCAACCCAGUUACUCACCA